UACGUAGGUGGCAAGCGUUAUCCGGAAUUAUUGGGCGUAAAAGAGCGCGCAGGUGGUUGAUUAAGUCUGAUGUGAAAGCCCACGGCUUAACCGUGGAGGGUCAUUGGAAACUGGUCGACUUGAGUGCAGAAGAGGGAAGUGGAAUUCCAUGUGUAGCGGUGAAAUGCGUAGAGAUAUGGAGGAACACCAGUGGCGAAGGCGGCUCUCUGGACUGUAACUGACACUGAGGCACGAAAGCGUGGGGAGCAAACAGGAUUAGAUA
RNAcentral lists this ribosomal RNA (262 nucleotides) under uncultured prokaryote. RNAcentral describes it as "partial 16S ribosomal RNA". It matches the Rfam family "Bacterial small subunit ribosomal RNA", at positions 524 to 784 of the family's 1533-position model. The record is from RNAcentral.